UACGUAGGGGGCUAGCGUUGUCCGGAAUCAUUGGGCGUAAAGCGCGCGUAGGCGGCCCGGUAAGUCCGCUGUAAAAGUCAAAGGCUCAACCUUUGAAUGUCAGUGGAUACUGCCGGGCUAGAGUCCGGAAGAGGCGAGUGGAACUCCUGGUGUAGCGGUGAAAUGCGCAGAUAUCAGGAGGAACACCGGUGGCGAAGGCGGGUCUCUGGGCCGAUACUGACGCUGAGGAGCGAAAGCGUGGGGAGCGAACAGG
This 253-nucleotide ribosomal RNA is filed under the name uncultured bacterium. RNAcentral's name for it is "partial 16S ribosomal RNA". It matches the Rfam family "Bacterial small subunit ribosomal RNA", at positions 524 to 776 of the family's 1533-position model. The record is from RNAcentral.